GAUGAACGCUGGCGGCGUGCCUAAUACAUGCAAGUCGAGCGAACAGAUCAGGAGCUUGCUCCUUUGACGUUAGCGGCGGACGGGUGAGUAACACGUGGAUAACCUACCUAUAAGACUGGGAUAACUUCGGGAAACCGGAGCUAAUACCGGAUAACAUAUUGAACCGCAUGGUUCAAUAGUGAAAGGCGGCUUUGCUGUCACUUAUAGAUGGAUCCGCGCCGUAUUAGCUAGUUGGUAAGGUAACGGCUUACCAAGGCAACGAUACGUAGCCGACCUGAGAGGGUGAUCGGCCACACUGGAACUGAGACACGGGCCAGACUCCUACGGGAGGCAGCAGUAGGGAAUCUUCCGCAAUGGGCGAAAGCAUGACGGAGCAACGCCGCGUGAGUGAUGAAGGUCUUCGGAUCGUAAAACUCUGUUAUCAGGGAAGAACAAAUGUGUAAGUAACUGUGCACAUCUUGUCGGUACCUGAUCAGAAAGCCACGGCUAACUACGUG
RNAcentral lists this ribosomal RNA (497 nucleotides) under uncultured bacterium. Its description in RNAcentral is "partial 16S ribosomal RNA". It matches the Rfam family "Bacterial small subunit ribosomal RNA", at positions 28 to 507 of the family's 1533-position model. The record is from RNAcentral.